Long non-coding RNA from Falco peregrinus (peregrine falcon), 4023 nucleotides. RefSeq lists it as uncharacterized. NCBI's taxonomy places the organism in Eukaryota, Metazoa, Chordata, Aves, Falconiformes, Falconidae. The record is from RefSeq and is a predicted model, not a curated record. The transcript is spliced from 3 exons.
CCCGUGGUGCAGCGCGGCGGGCGGGGCGCCUCCCCGGGGACGCGGCGCUGAGGGCGCUGCCGGGGCGGGGGGCGGCGGCCGCGCGGGUCGGCGCGGUCGGUCGUUACGGCCGGCGUCGCGGCCGCGGCUUGGGGCCGGUGUCGCCCUUCGUCGUCGCCGCGGGCCGCCGCUCUCCCCCUUUCACGCCGAAAGCGCGUUUGGUAAACCCGGACGAAAAUGGGGCCCGGCCCUCCCCCGGCGUGCGACCUCGUUGGCGCUUACUUACGGCUGGGGGGGCAGCCCGCGGCCUCGGCGGGGCCCGGGCGGGGCGGCGGCGGCGGGGCGGCGGUGGCGCCUGUGGCGGGUCCCGCCCGUGCCCUCCUCGCUCCGCUUCCAGCCGCGCGCCGGAGUGUGCCAGAGCGAGCCCCGGCCGAACGGGGGCCGGCGCGGAGAGAUCCCGCGUUUGCGAUUUAACUCCUUUUUUUGUCGGAACAGCAGCGCACAUUUUCUUGUUCCAGCGUAAACAAAGGAGUUGAUGUGCUGCGCUCGUAAAGCUGCUGAAGGAUGCUUGCUUUUAUUGGAUGACCUACGAUUGAGAAAGAGAUCCACGAAACGGACUUGGCACACCUUCCCGAGUUGCAGGAUACUGUGAUGGGGGGGGGGGGGGGGUGUUCCCGUUCCUCCCCUCCCCCAAAUAUUAAAGUAUAUGCGGAAUACUAUUGAAAUAUAUGGGGCAAUUGUUGUUCAGGCUGAAAUGAGUUAGAAAUUACUCAGGCUCUUGUGUAUCCAUCUGUUGAGUCCCAGCUCCCUCCUUCACCUCUCUGCCAACAGCACCCCUGCUCCACCUUGUCUUUUUGACUUGGGUAACGUUAAGCCUUAUUUUCACACAAAUGUACAGUUUACCAGGGGGUCAGGGGAAGGAAUCACUCCCAGCUACCACAAUGCUCAGGCUGUUUUAUCUAGAAAAGAACCGGGGCAGCCCUGAAGGAAGCGGAAGAGGCGACCUGAUAGCAUUCCCAAAACACUCUCAAAGAGGACGCGGGUGGCGUACAGUGUGCCAGCUGCGGACACAUCCUGCACUUUUUCUUCAUCUUUGUGUUAUAAUUGGAAAUGACGCAUGGAAGAUAGUUCUUCAACAUUACACCUUUCCAGAUGUCGUAAAUCAUUCCCACUUAAAUGAAAAUAAAAACAUUAACAGAACAAAAUGCUAUUAAAACAACUGGAGGGUCUUUAGAAUUUAGUAUUGAUUCCAGAAUCUAGUAUCGAUUUGAGUAUUUGAGUAUUCCUCAGAAAUAUUAAGUGGUGUUGCAAAUGGAAUGUUUUAGGUUGUGUAACACUUUUUACUAUCAUCCAAUUGUUGACACAGCUGCAUACUCCUUUACUAUUUACUGAGUACCUUCUUUGUCAGCUUAGUAACAUUUAAAAAGGAAAUGCUUGCCAUUAGUAUCACUUCUUCAUCUAUUUUUUUUACUUUGUUUUCUGCCUUUUAUGCCUCUGCCCUACUUUCUUUUCCUCCCUUUUGCAUUUCCUCACCUUUAGUAACUUUCUAUUCCUAUAUCAUAUAGGUCUCACACCCCAUGCUAAAAGCCUAAAUCUGUAGUAAUUAAGUAGCCCGUUAAAACUGCCUUUGAAAUACACUCAUUGUUUUCAGUAUCGAAACAACAAAGCAAAAAAGCAUAGGCAGGUUUAUCAGUCACAUAAGUGGCUGUUUUAAGACUGACAGAUAUGUUCUGCAGUAGUUCUCAAUCUACCCACAGGUCUGAUGAUCCAGUCGUCGAUCCGCUUGUUUCACACACAUAAGAUGAACUGAACUUCCAUUACUCAGGAGAGCUCUGGUGUUGCAGCGUUGGUGUUGGACAGAGGAGGAUGUUUGUCAGCCUACAGAAUGAACACCCACAAGAAAGAUACGUUAUGAAAUGUCACCUCAAGUUAUAUGGAAUUUUAAGAAUUUGUGAAGACGUCCCAGAGGAAUUACAAGCAAAAUUUAUACAUGAUGCUCAUGGAAGAGAUUGGAACGAGAGUUUCAAGUUCCAGAAUAAAUGGAGGAUGGUUAUUCUGGUCUGAACAAGAAAAACUGUGGUUGCUGUAGUCAGGAUUGAAAACCAGGUUUAGUUUGAAAAAAAAAACAUAUGUGAAAUCCCCUGAGACAUAGAAGAAGGAUAAUGUUCAAAUUGAGAUGCUGUAGUAUUGCAGAAACUGUGUGCUGAGAUCCUGGCUCUCAUCCUCCCUUGAAUCCCUGGAAGUCAGUUGCUUUUUCUCUAGCACUGUUCUCCGUCUCUUACUAGAGAUACUAAUAUUUCAUUUUUUCCUCCAUUUGUCUUCUUUGCUUAUUCAAAUUGAAAGCUUGUCGGAACAGGGACUGAAAAUCUCUUGGUAUGUAUACAUCAUGAAAUAAAGUGGAAACCUGAUCUUGGUUUGGUCUCUCAGGCUACCAUAUGAAAAAAUUUGUAUGUAUUUCUAUAUAUAUAAAGGUAAAUGGCAGAUGUAUGAUAUUUGAAAAAUAUUUUUUUAUUUUAUUUAUUAUUUCACUUUUUUCCAUAUAGAUAUCUAGGGAAAGCUGAAUGUUGAAAUGUAUCAUGUGAAUAGUUCACUCUGUCAGACUGAGUGGGAGAAGAUUGUCAGCUGGCCAAUGACAGUAGCUUUCCGGAUAUUUUGCACAACUGGAACAUCACAAGGAUAUGAACCAGCAAUAAUUUUGUCAGACUGCAAAAAUGGCUGUAUUUGGCAAUUCUGUACAAAGGAGUUUUCAGCACAGAUGCAAACAUAGGAUAAAUUAUUGUACUAAUGUCUGUAUAUCCUUUCUAAGCAGAAGUCUCUUCCUCUAUUUAUAAAUAAGAAGUAUUAAUUGUAUGCCUGGAUUUUCUCUUUUCUAAUAAUUCCAUUUUCAGAGGAGUUCAAGACUCUGAGAAUGGUGAGGUAAUUUGUCAUACCUCUGUUCAGUUCAAAAGGCCCCUUAAAAUCCGAUCUUCUUUAGCUGUUGCAGCUUUGUGGCUGAAAACCACUAAACCAAACAUUGCUCAGUGUUGUCAAAAGAUUUAAAUUCAGGUGAAGUUGGUCAAGUUUAACAUGAAGAAAAUGACUCUUCAAAAAGUUAUUCUUUAUGGGUUAAAAUCUGAAAAACUGGAGAGAAAUUCGGCCAUAGAUUUAGUCAUACUUUCAUUACCAGAAACUGUGGAGCUAGCAUGGUUUGCCUUACUUGUAUAACUCCUGUACCUCUGCUUUCCAAUAUUAAGACCACACAAGCUGAUUUCAAAGUCUAGAGGUAAUGAAUAGGUCUUCAUUAUUUUUAUAUGAUUCCAGGGAGAGGUACACAACUCUGUUUGCGUUGUUUGGUUUCCCCACAGAUAAAUAUAACACUUUUACCAUGCAAAGAGGUAGGGGGGGUUCAUUAGCAGUGAGAGUGAAAAGGUAAGAGGACACUUGCCAGAUUAAAUAAUUUCGUGUGAUCAGAAAGGGAGGCAUAAAAAAAAUUACAUGUAAAAUGUGAUGUAUUGACUCAUUUAGCUGCCAUUGUUACAGUUUUUCUAGACUUAUUCUUUUAAGAUUCUAAUUCUCAAUAUUCUUUGAACACUUUGAACACUGGUGUUCUAUCUUCUACGGUUGAGGAUUUCAGGUUUCAGAAUAUCAUUCCUCCUGGAACUUACAGGUUUUGACCUUUUUUCCUAAAUGCCAAAUUUCAAUAGAUUUCCAGAGUUCAAUAAUCCACAUGGUAUCUUUCUUCCAUAUUUUAACAGUCUCAGUGUGUUCCGUAAUUGGUUGAUUAAAAAUGUAAAAAGGUGGAGAUGCAGAACGGUUUGCAUUGGUGUACCUAUGAUAUUUAUACUUGUGCUGUGCUGAUCCUGGCAGGAUGCCAGGUGCCCCCCAAAGCUGCUGUAUCGCUCCCCAGGAGAGAAAAUACAACAAAAGGCUCGUGGGUUGAGAUAAGGACAGGCAGAUCACUCAGCAGUUACCGUAACGGGCAGAACAGAUUCAGCCUGGGGAAGUUAGUUUAAUUUUUUACCAAUCAGAUCAGAGUAGGAUAAUGAGAAAUAAAGUAAAAUCUUA